Molecule: ribosomal RNA, 253 nt
Filed under: uncultured bacterium
Lineage: Bacteria
Description: partial 16S ribosomal RNA
Rfam family: Bacterial small subunit ribosomal RNA
Source: RNAcentral
UACAGAGGGUGCGAGCGUUGUUCGGAAUUACUGGGCGUAAAGGGCGCGUAGGCGGCCUGUUAAGUCGAACGUGAAAUCCCCGGGCUCAACCCGGGAACUGCGUCCGAUACUGGCAGGCUUGAAUUCGGGAGAGGGAUGUGGAAUUCCAGGUGUAGCGGUGAAAUGCGUAGAUAUCUGGAGGAACACCGGUGGCGAAGGCGGCAUCCUGGACCGAUAUUGACGCUGAUGCGCGAAAGCCAGGGGAACAAACGGG